GGGAGACACACAAAAUGUGCAGUGCUGGGGGGCGCCCAGGACCAGGGUUGAGAAACACUGCUUUACACAAAUACUACGUUUUACAGUAAACUCCAUAAAGCACCAAAGUAGUAAAAUACUGUUAAUAAACUUCCACUAAAUAGGUUCGACAGUCAGCAAACAUAAUAACAUUAGUAACAUCUCCCACAGUCAGAAUCUAUGUCAGUUUAGUGUUGGAUGGAUGUUUUUUUUUUUUAACCAAAAAAAAAAAACAAACAAAACACA
Sinocyclocheilus grahami is the source of this 264-nucleotide long non-coding RNA. RefSeq lists it as uncharacterized. The record is from RefSeq and is a predicted model, not a curated record. The transcript has 2 exons. Lineage: Eukaryota; Metazoa; Chordata; Actinopteri; Cypriniformes; Cyprinidae.